Molecule: ribosomal RNA, 1235 nt
Filed under: Anoxybacillus flavithermus
Lineage: Bacteria; Bacillati; Bacillota; Bacilli; Caryophanales; Anoxybacillaceae
Description: bacterial SSU rRNA
Rfam family: Bacterial small subunit ribosomal RNA
Source: RNAcentral
CGGCGGACGGGUGAGUAACACGUGGGCACCUGCCCUGUAGACGGGGAUAACACCGAGAAAUCGGUGCUAAUACCGGAUAACACGAAAACCGCAUGGUUUUUCGUUGAAAGGCGGCGCAAGCUGUCGCUACAGGAUGGGCCCGCGGCCAUUAGCUAGUUGGUGAGGUAACGGCUCACCAAGGCGACGAUGCGUAGCCGACCUGAGAGGUGAUCGGCCACACUGGGACUGAGACACGGCCCAGACUCCUACGGGAGGCAGCAGUAGGAAUCUUCCGCAAUGGACGAAAGUCUGACGGAGCAACGCCGCGUGAGCGAAGAAGGCCUCGGGUCGUAAAGCUCUGUUGUUAGGGAAGAACAAGUACCGCAGUCACUGGCGGUACCUUACGGUACCUAACGAGAAAGCCACGGCUAACUACGUGCCAGCAGCCGCGGUAAUACGUAGUGGCAAGCGUUGUCCGGAAUUAUUGGGCGUAAAGCGCGCGCAGGCGGUUCCUUAAGUCUAUGUGAAAGCCCACGGCUCAACCGUGGAGGGUCAUUGGAAACUGGGGGACUUGAGUGCAAAGAGGAGAGCGGAAUUCCACGUGUAGCGGUGAAAUGCGUAGAGAUGUGGAGGAACACCGUGGCGAAGGCGGCUCUCUGGUCUGUAACUGACGCUGAGGCGCGAAAGCGUGGGGAGCAACAGGAUUAGAUACCCUGGUAGUCCACGCCGUAAACGAUGAGUGCUAAGUGUUAGAGGGAUCCACCCUUUAGUGCUGUAGCUAACGCAUUAAGCACUCCGCCUGGGGAGUACGCUCGCAGAGUGAAACUCAAAGGAAUUGACGGGGGCCCGCACAAGCGGUGGAGCAUGUGGUUUAAUCGAAGCAACGCGAAGAACCUUACCAGGUCUUGACAUCCCCUGACAACCCGAGAGAUCGGGCGUUCCCCCUUCGGGGGGACAGGGUGACAGGUGGUGCAUGGUUGUCGUCAGCUCGUGUGUGAGAUGUUGGGUUAAGUCCCGCAACGAGCGCAACCCUCGACCUUAGUUGCCAGCAUCAGUUGGGCACUCUAAGGUGACUGCCGGCUAAAAGUCGGAGGAAGGUGGGGAUGACGUAAAUCAUCAUGCCCCUUAUGACCUGGGCUACACACGUGCUACAAUGGGCGGUACAAAGGUUGCGAACCCGCGAGGGGGAGCCAAUCCCAAAAAGCCGCUCUCAGUUCGGAUUGCAGGCGCAACUCGCCUGCAUGAAGCCGGAAUCG